RNAcentral lists this transfer RNA (86 nucleotides) under Microcaldota archaeon. Its description in RNAcentral is "tRNA-Ser". It matches the Rfam family "tRNA". From Rfam's summary of the family: Transfer RNA (tRNA) molecules are approximately 80 nucleotides in length. Their secondary structure includes four short double-helical elements and three loops (D, anti-codon, and T loops). The record is from RNAcentral. Lineage: Archaea; Nanobdellati; Microcaldota.
GCCGGGGUGGCGGAACCCGGUCAUCGCGCUGGUCUCGAAAACCAGUGGACGCAUAGUCCUUGCGAGUUCAAAUCUCGUCCCCGGCG